Molecule: ribosomal RNA, 460 nt
Filed under: uncultured bacterium
Lineage: Bacteria
Description: partial 16S ribosomal RNA
Rfam family: Bacterial small subunit ribosomal RNA
Source: RNAcentral
CCUACGGGUGGCAGCAGUGAGGAAUAUUGGUCAAUGGGCGCGAGCCUGAACCAGCCAAGUAGCGUGAAGGAUGACUGCCCUACGGGUUGUAAACUUCUUUUAUAAGGGAGUAAAGUGAGGCACGUGUGCCUUUUUGUAUGUACCUUAUGAAUAAGGAUCGGCUAACUCCGUGCCAGCAGCCGCGGUAAUACGGAGGAUCCGAGCGUUAUCCGGAUUUAUUGGGUUUAAAGGGAGCGUAGGUGGGAUGUUAAGUCAGUUGUGAAAUUUUGCGGCUCAACCGUAAAAUUGCAUUUGAUACUGGUAGGCUUGAGUACAGUUGAGGUAGGCGGAAUUCGUGGUGUAGCGGUGAAAUGCUUAGAUAUAACGAAGAACUCCGAUUGCGAAGGCAGCUUACUAAGCUGCCACUGACGUUGAUGCACGAAAGUGUGGGGAUCAAACAGGAUUAGAUACCCCUGUAGUC